This 468-nucleotide ribosomal RNA is filed under the name uncultured bacterium. RNAcentral's name for it is "partial 16S ribosomal RNA". It matches the Rfam family "Bacterial small subunit ribosomal RNA", at positions 28 to 507 of the family's 1533-position model. The record is from RNAcentral.
GACGAACGCUGGCGGCGUGCUUAACACAUGCAAGUCGAACGGAAAGGCCCUGCUUUUGUGGGGUGCUCGAGUGGCGAACGGGUGAGUAACACGUGAGUAACCUGCCCUUAACUUUGGGAUAACUUCAGGAAACUGGGGCUAAUACCGGAUAGGAGCUCCUGCUGCAUGGUGGGGGUUGGAAAGUUUCGGCGGUUGGGGAUGGACUCGCGGCUUAUCAGCUUGUUGGUGGGGUAGUGGCUUACCAAGGCUUUGACGGGUAGCCGGCCUGAGAGGGUGACCGGCCACAUUGGGACUGAGAGACGGCCCAGACUCCUACGGGAGGCAGCAGUGGGGAAUAUUGCACAAUGGGCGGAAGCCUGAUGCAGCAACGCCGCGUGCGGGAUGACGGCCUUCGGGUUGUAAACCGCUUUCGCCUGUGACGAAGCGUGAGUGACGGUAAUGGGUAAAGAAGCACCGGCUAACUACGUG